RNAcentral lists this transfer RNA (88 nucleotides) under Ailuropoda melanoleuca (giant panda). It matches the Rfam family "tRNA". From Rfam's summary of the family: Transfer RNA (tRNA) molecules are approximately 80 nucleotides in length. Their secondary structure includes four short double-helical elements and three loops (D, anti-codon, and T loops). Lineage: Eukaryota; Metazoa; Chordata; Mammalia; Carnivora; Ursidae. The record is from Rfam by way of RNAcentral.
CCUUCGAUAGCUCAGUUGGUAGAGCGGAGGACUGUAGGUGAGACAGUUGGGCAUCCUUAGGUCGCUGGUUCGAAUCCGGCUCGAAGGA